Molecule: ribosomal RNA, 2925 nt
Filed under: Escherichia coli
Lineage: Bacteria; Pseudomonadati; Pseudomonadota; Gammaproteobacteria; Enterobacterales; Enterobacteriaceae
Description: 23S ribosomal RNA
Rfam family: Bacterial large subunit ribosomal RNA
Source: RNAcentral
GGGUUGUGAGGUUAAGCGACUAAGCGUACACGGUGGAUGCCCUGGCAGUCAGAGGCGAUGAAGGACGUGCUAAUCUGCGAUAAGCGUCGGUGAGGUGAUAUGAACCGUUAUAACCGGCGAUUUCCGAAUGGGGAAACCCAGUGUGUUUCGACACACUAUCAUUAACUGAAUCCAUAGGUUAAUGAGGCGAACCGGGGGAACUGAAACAUCUAAGUACCCCGAGGAAAAGAAAUCAACCGAGAUUCCCCCAGUAGCGGCGAGCGAACGGGGAGGAGCCCAGAGCCUGAAUCAGUGUGUGUGUUAGUGGAAGCGUCUGGAAAGGCGUGCGAUACAGGGUGACAGCCCCGUACACAAAAAUGCACAUAUUGUGAGCUCGAUGAGUAGGGCGGGACACGUGGUAUCCUGUCUGAAUAUGGGGGGACCAUCCUCCAAGGCUAAAUACUCCUGACUGACCGAUAGUGAACCAGUACCGUGAGGGAAAGGCGAAAAGAACCCCGGCGAGGGGAGUGAAAAAGAACCUGAAACCGUGUACGUACAAGCAGUGGGAGCCUCUUAAUGGGGUGACUGCGUACCUUUUGUAUAAUGGGUCAGCGACUUAUAUUCUGUAGCAAGGUUAACCGAAUAGGGGAGCCGAAGGGAAACCGAGUCUUAACUGGGCGUUAAGUUGCAGGGUAUAGACCCGAAACCCGGUGAUCUAGCCAUGGGCAGGUUGAAGGUUGGGUAACACUAACUGGAGGACCGAACCGACUAAUGUUGAAAAAUUAGCGGAUGACUUGUGGCUGGGGGUGAAAGGCCAAUCAAACCGGGAGAUAGCUGGUUCUCCCCGAAAGCUAUUUAGGUAGCGCCUCGUGAAUUCAUCUCCGGGGGUAGAGCACUGUUUCGGCAAGGGGGUCAUCCCGACUUACCAACCCGAUGCAAACUGCGAAUACCGGAGAAUGUUAUCACGGGAGACACACGGCGGGUGCUAACGUCCGUCGUGAAGAGGGAAACAACCCAGACCGCCAGCUAAGGUCCCAAAGUCAUGGUUAAGUGGGAAACGAUGUGGGAAGGCCCAGACAGCCAGGAUGUUGGCUUAGAAGCAGCCAUCAUUUAAAGAAAGCGUAAUAGCUCACUGGUCGAGUCGGCCUGCGCGGAAGAUGUAACGGGGCUAAACCAUGCACCGAAGCUGCGGCAGCGACACUAUGUGUUGUUGGGUAGGGGAGCGUUCUGUAAGCCUGUGAAGGUGGCCUGUGAGGGUUGCUGGAGGUAUCAGAAGUGCGAAUGCUGACAUAAGUAACGAUAAAGCGGGUGAAAAGCCCGCUCGCCGGAAGACCAAGGGUUCCUGUCCAACGUUAAUCGGGGCAGGGUGAGUCGACCCCUAAGGCGAGGCCGAAAGGCGUAGUCGAUGGGAAACAGGUUAAUAUUCCUGUACUUGGUGUUACUGCGAAGGGGGGACGGAGAAGGCUAUGUUGGCCGGGCGACGGUUGUCCCGGUUUAAGCGUGUAGGCUGGUUUUCCAGGCAAAUCCGGAAAACCAAGGCUGAGGCGUGAUGACGAGGCACUACGGUGCUGAAGCGACAAAUGCCCUGCUUCCAGGAAAAGCCUCUAAGCAUCAGGUAACAUCAAAUCGUACCCAAAACCGACACAGGUGGUCAGGUAGAGAAUACCAAGGCGCUUGAGAGAACUCGGGUGAAGGAACUAGGCAAAAUGGUGCCGUAACUUCGGGAGAAGGCACGCUGAUAUGUAGGUGAAGCGACUUGCUCGUGGAGCUGAAAUCAGUCGAAGAUACCAGCUGGCUGCAACUGUUUAUUAAAAACACAGCACUGUGCAAACACGAAAGUGGACGUAUACGGUGUGACGCCUGCCCGGUGCCGGAAGGUUAAUUGAUGGGGUUAGCGGYAACGCGAAGCUCUUGAUCGAAGCCCCGGUAAACGGCGGCCGUAACUAUAACGGUCCUAAGGUAGCGAAAUUCCUUGUCGGGUAAGUUCCGACCUGCACGAAUGGCGUAAUGAUGGCCAGGCUGUCUCCACCCGAGACUCAGUGAAAUUGAACUCGCUGUGAAGAUGCAGUGUACCCGCGGCAAGACGGAAAGACCCCGUGAACCUUUACUAUAGCUUGACACUGAACAUUGAGCCUUGAUGUGUAGGAUAGGUGGGAGGCUUUGAAGUGUGGACGCCAGUCUGCAUGGAGCCGACCUUGAAAUACCACCCUUUAAUGUUUGAUGUUCUAACGUUGGCCCGUAAUCCGGGUUGCGGACAGUGUCUGGUGGGUAGUUUGACUGGGGCGGUCUCCUCCUAAAGAGUAACGGAGGAGCACGAAGGUUGGCUAAUCCUGGUCGGACAUCAGGAGGUUAGUGCAAUGGCAUAAGCCAGCUUGACUGCGAGCGUGACGGCGCGAGCAGGUGCGAAAGCAGGUCAUAGUGAUCCGGUGGUUCUGAAUGGAAGGGCCAUCGCUCAACGGAUAAAAGGUACUCCGGGGAUAACAGGCUGAUACCGCCCAAGAGUUCAUAUCGACGGCGGUGUUUGGCACCUCGAUGUCGGCUCAUCACAUCCUGGGGCUGAAGUAGGUCCCAAGGGUAUGGCUGUUCGCCAUUUAAAGUGGUACGCGAGCUGGGUUUAGAACGUCGUGAGACAGUUCGGUCCCUAUCUGCCGUGGGCGCUGGAGAACUGAGGGGGGCUGCUCCUAGUACGAGAGGACCGGAGUGGACGCAUCACUGGUGUUCGGGUUGUCAUGCCAAUGGCACUGCCCGGUAGCUAAAUGCGGAAGAGAUAAGUGCUGAAAGCAUCUAAGCACGAAACUUGCCCCGAGAUGAGUUCUCCCUGACUCCUUGAGRGUCCUGAAGGAACGUUGAAGACGACGACGUUGAUAGGCCGGGUGUGUAAGCGCAGCGAUGCGUUGAGCUAACCGGUACUAAUGAACCGUGAGGCUUAACCUUACAACGCCGAAG